UUCAAGAAAAAGAGGAAAAAAUUCAAAAGGUUGUGGGGUUCAAGAAAAGCAAAAAAAUAUAAUAAUAAUCCCCAACGGAGCGCAAAUUGUUCGUCUGUUCUUGGUAUUCAAUCACUCUUCACCCUGAUCAUCUGAAAGCCGAGGCUAUUCAUAUCGACAGGUUCACAAUGGAUUGAAUAGGGGCAGCUGUAACACCUCAAAAUUUGCCCUCCUCUUCUUGGGACUAG
Molecule: long non-coding RNA, 227 nt
Filed under: Lathyrus oleraceus (garden pea)
Lineage: Eukaryota; Viridiplantae; Streptophyta; Magnoliopsida; Fabales; Fabaceae
Description: Pisum sativum (pea) long non-coding RNA (PSAT_LNC018461)
Source: RNAcentral